CAUUCAAUAUAAAGGAGGACACCCGCAUCACCCAUCAGUGCAUAUUUACGGUACUGCUAAUACGCCCCCUCGCUUUGAAGCUGUCUCCGCCCAAAGAGCCUCUGGCGCUCCUCACUUCUUCUCGUCCUUCUCCUCCACGCCGCCGGCCACGUAGUGGGUGUGCAGCAGCUCGUGCGCCUGCAGGGGUCAAGCACACGGCACACGUCAUGCAUCCAUGUAGCAACAGUCGCGUGUGGGUAGCUAUCAGGACAAGGCAUGUACCGCCCUGCCCAGUGUGCCCCCCCGUCCCUUCACCUGCUGUUGCCCCACACCCAGCCCGCCUCCCUCCCGGCCCGCCUCUCCAACGCCCCCGACCAGCCCCGUCAUUUGGGCUGGUAGUUACAACCCCCCCCCACCUUGUGGCCCAGCGGCUCUCCGAGGUACGUGUCGUACAGCUCGCGGAUGGACGGGUUCUCGUGGCUGCGGCGCAGCGUGGACCUGGGGCAGCAACAGGAGCGCACGUGCAGGCGCACAUUGUGUCAGGAAGUGCCGACCCUCUUUGCUCGUGCGAAUACCGUCGUCGGGACCCUACGCACACCUCCUCCACACUGCUUCCAUCACAUCCUGCCCGCCAACCUGUAGCAAGUAAC
This 629-nucleotide long non-coding RNA is filed under the name Chlamydomonas reinhardtii. RNAcentral's name for it is "long non-coding RNA (CREI_LNC000331)". Lineage: Eukaryota; Viridiplantae; Chlorophyta; Chlorophyceae; Chlamydomonadales; Chlamydomonadaceae. The record is from RNAcentral.